AAGUAGUAGUGCCGCAGGUAAAGUGGCUCAAACUUCUUACCUGCACACAACUACUUAC
This 58-nucleotide microRNA precursor is filed under the name Cordylochernes scorpioides. Lineage: Eukaryota; Metazoa; Arthropoda; Arachnida; Pseudoscorpiones; Chernetidae. The record is from RNAcentral.